GAGUUUGAUCCUGGCUCAGGACGAACGCUGGCGGCGUGCUUAACACAUGCAAGUCGAACGGAAAGGCCCUUCGGGGUACUCGAGUGGCGAACGGGUGAGUAACACGUGGGUGAUCUGCCCUGCACUUUGGGAUAAGCCUGGGAAACUGGGUCUAAUACCGAAUAGGACCGCGCGCUUCAUGGUGUGUGGUGGAAAGCUUUUGCGGUGUGGGAUGGGCCCGCGGCCUAUCAGCUUGUUGGUGGGGUAAUGGCCUACCAAGGCGACGACGGGUAGCCGGCCUGAGAGGGUGACCGGCCACACUGGGACUGAGAUACGGCCCAGACUCCUACGGGAGGCAGCAGUGGGGAAUAUUGCACAAUGGGCGCAAGCCUGAUGCAGCGACGCCGCGUGAGGGAUGACGGCCUUCGGGUUGUAAACCUCUUUCACCAGGGACGAAGCGCAAGUGACGGUACCUGGAGAAGAAGCACCGGCCAACUACGUGCCAGCAGCCGCGGUAAUACGUAGGGUGCGAGCGUUGUCCGGAAUUACUGGGCGUAAAGAGCUCGUAGGUGGUUUGUCGCGUUGUUCGUGAAAACUCACAGCUUAACUGUGGGCGUGCGGGGGAUACGGGCAGACUAGAGUACUGCAGGGGAGACUGGAAUUCCUGGUGUAGCGGUGGAAUGCGCAGAUAUCAGGAGGAACACCGGUGGCGAAGGCGGGUCUCUGGGCAGUAACUGACGCUGAGGAGCGAAAGCGUGGGGAGCGAACAGGAUUAGAUACCCUGGUAGUC
RNAcentral lists this ribosomal RNA (769 nucleotides) under uncultured bacterium. Its description in RNAcentral is "bacterial SSU rRNA". It matches the Rfam family "Bacterial small subunit ribosomal RNA", at positions 9 to 795 of the family's 1533-position model. The record is from RNAcentral.